AGAGGUUUUUGCCGCUGACGGAACGUUGUGGAGCACCACAGUGCGGCAAAAAGCUGGUUUUGUCAAUGCCGACCGUCUGGGCAGCCUUG
RNAcentral lists this non-coding RNA (89 nucleotides) under Faecalibacterium prausnitzii. Its description in RNAcentral is "ZTP sequence". It matches the Rfam family "ZMP/ZTP riboswitch aptamer (pfl RNA motif)". Rfam says of the family: Previously known as pfl RNA. Lineage: Bacteria; Bacillati; Bacillota; Clostridia; Eubacteriales; Oscillospiraceae. The record is from RNAcentral.